Gymnodraco acuticeps is the source of this 386-nucleotide long non-coding RNA. RefSeq lists it as uncharacterized. Lineage: Eukaryota; Metazoa; Chordata; Actinopteri; Perciformes; Bathydraconidae. The transcript has 3 exons. The record is from RefSeq and is a predicted model, not a curated record.
CUCUGCUGGGUCUGGUUUGCACCGCAGCUUCACGGAUUGAUGAGAACAAACUGAAAAUGUUCAAGGAAUUACUUCAGGAAGCAGAACAAGCCCUGGACAUAGUGAAGGCACAAAGCGACACCGACUUUGAGCUCCUUUAUGGAUGGAUGAUGGAUAAUGUGGAGUCCCAUGAAGAGAUUUUGAAAUUCGAAAAGUAUCUGAGAGCACACAAGACAUUUCUCCAAGCCCUGGAGGAGUACCAUGCUGAAUUGUAACCUCCAUGUCAACCAGUGAUACUGCAUCUAUUGUAUCUGGGAGGUUUCCAUUUCUCACUGAGCUGCUCCAUCUUAACUUUGCAAUACACUGGCUUAGAAAUCAUGAAUUUCUGUAAUUGAAAAUAGGUUAUC